This 253-nucleotide ribosomal RNA is filed under the name uncultured bacterium. RNAcentral describes it as "partial 16S ribosomal RNA". It matches the Rfam family "Bacterial small subunit ribosomal RNA", at positions 524 to 776 of the family's 1533-position model. The record is from RNAcentral.
UACGUAGGGUGCAAGCGUUGUCCGGAAUUAUUGGGCGUAAAGAGCUCGUAGGCGGUCUGUUGCGUCGGCUGUGAAAACCCGGGGCUCAACUCCGGGCCUGCAGCCGAUACGGGCAGACUAGAGUUCGGCAGGGGAGACUGGAAUUCCUGGUGUAGCGGUGAAAUGCGCAGAUAUCAGGAGGAACACCGAUGGCGAAGGCAGAUCUCUGGGCCGUAACUGACGCUGAGGAGCGAAAGCGUGGGGAGCGAACAGG